CGCCCCUCGCUCUGUUUUCCACCAGCUGCCUGUCCAGCGGGCCUGCCGCCUCCACCGCCCAGUCCUUGCUCAGGUGUCACUGUUGCUGGCAGGCCAGGAUUAGGAAAGGAGAAUGGGCAGGGGGUGGUGGCUGGGAGGAGAUGGGCUCUACCAUGCCACCCCCACCCUCACUUGGCUUCCUACCCUGGAAUCCGCAUACACCCCCGCGCCUCCUUGGCACCCGCGCCUUGGAGACUGGGUUAAGCUGCAGU
RNAcentral lists this long non-coding RNA (251 nucleotides) under Marmota monax (woodchuck). The record is from RNAcentral. Lineage: Eukaryota; Metazoa; Chordata; Mammalia; Rodentia; Sciuridae.